RNAcentral lists this ribosomal RNA (263 nucleotides) under uncultured bacterium. RNAcentral describes it as "partial 16S ribosomal RNA". It matches the Rfam family "Bacterial small subunit ribosomal RNA", at positions 1239 to 1500 of the family's 1533-position model. The record is from RNAcentral.
ACAACGAGUCGCAAGCUCGCGAGAGUAAGCUAAUCUCUUAAAGCCGUUCUCAGUUCGGACUGUAGGCUGCAACUCGCCUACACGAAGUCGGAAUCGCUAGUAAUCGCGGAUCAGCAUGCCGCGGUGAAUACGUCCCCGGGCCUUGUACACACCGCCCGUCACACCAUGGGAGUUUGUAACGCCCAAAGUCGGUGGCCUAACCUUUAUGGAGGGAGCCGCCUAAGGCGGGACAGAUGACUGGGGUGAAGUCGUAACAAGGUACC